UAUGCGAUCCAUCGAGUCUUUGAACGCAAGUUGCGCCCGAAGCCAUUAGGUUGAGGGCACGCCUGCCUGGGCGUCUCAC
Molecule: ribosomal RNA, 79 nt
Filed under: Camellia sinensis
Lineage: Eukaryota; Viridiplantae; Streptophyta; Magnoliopsida; Ericales; Theaceae
Description: partial 5.8S ribosomal RNA
Source: RNAcentral